RNAcentral lists this long non-coding RNA (514 nucleotides) under Monodelphis domestica (gray short-tailed opossum). RNAcentral's name for it is "lncRNA (ENSMODG00000037290.1)". Lineage: Eukaryota; Metazoa; Chordata; Mammalia; Didelphimorphia; Didelphidae. The record is from RNAcentral.
UAAAUGGAAAGCAGCCUUAGAGGGAAAGAAACUAGCAGCUCAGGGGAUUGAGAAAGGUUCCUGUAAAAAGUGGCUCUUGUGCUGUUAUUUGCAGUAAAUAAGAAUAUCAUUAUUGACCUACUGUUGGCUAACCUGCUGUGGUGCUUCAUUCAUCAAGAAGAAAAUCCCAGAAGAUCCCUCUGGCCCUUGUUAAAUUUCUAGUGAAGAAGGACCUGGGGGCCUGGGCCCCUCUUCUUCUCCCUUCAGUGGGGUGAGGACUCCAGCACCUUCAGAGAAGAGAAUCUGGAGCCCUUGGCUUUUCUUGCUCAUUGCCGGAGAGACCCAAGCUCUGGAGGACAAGCAUGCUGGGUCUGCAGUGAAAAUGUGUGAAUUUGCUUGCCCCGUUUGGAGACUGAUCAAUGGCAAGCAGAGCAAAGCAGCAGUGGGAGAUGCUGCUUAAACCACGGCUCCCCUGGGCCCCAUCAUUCAGUGCUCUGGUAAUAAAAUGGCCAGGACUAAAAAAAACCCUAUGAGA